Molecule: unclassified non-coding RNA, 345 nt
Filed under: soil metagenome
Description: partial contains 5.8S ribosomal RNA, internal transcribed spacer 2, and large subunit ribosomal RNA
Rfam family: 5.8S ribosomal RNA (bases 1-119)
Source: RNAcentral
GAUGAAGAACGCAGCGAAAUGCGAUACGUAAUGUGAAUUGCAAAUUCAGUGAAUCAUCGAGUCUUUGAACGCACAUUGCGCCCCCUGGUAUUCCGGGGGGCAUGCCUGUCCGAGCGUCAUUGCUGCCCUCAAGCACGGCUUGUGUGAUGGGCCCCGUCCUCCGAUCCCGGGGGACGGGCCCGAAAGGCAGCGGCGGCACCGCGUCCGGUCCUCGAGCGUAUGGGGCUUUGUCACCCGCUCUGUAGGCCCGGCCGGCGCUUGCCGAUCAACCCAAAUUUUUAUCCAGGUUGACCUCGGAUCAGGUAGGGAUACCCGCUGAACUUAAGCAUAUCAAUAAGCGGAGGA